GGAGGGCUCGCAUAGUGGCCUAGUGCGGCGGUCUUGAAAACCGCUAUGCGGCAACCCCAUCGUGGGUUCGAAUCCCACGCCCUCCG
This 86-nucleotide transfer RNA is filed under the name Austwickia sp. RNAcentral describes it as "tRNA-Ser". It matches the Rfam family "tRNA". From Rfam's summary of the family: Transfer RNA (tRNA) molecules are approximately 80 nucleotides in length. Their secondary structure includes four short double-helical elements and three loops (D, anti-codon, and T loops). The record is from RNAcentral. Lineage: Bacteria; Bacillati; Actinomycetota; Actinomycetes; Micrococcales; Dermatophilaceae.